AACGAACGCUGGCGGCAUGCCUAACACAUGCAAGUCGAACGAGACCUUCGGGUCUAGUGGCGCACGGGUGCGUAACGCGUGGGAACCUGCCCUUAGGUUCGGAAUAACUCCCCGACAGGGGUGCUAAUACCGGAUAAUGUCUUCGGACCAAAGAUUUAUCGCCUUUGGAUGGGCCCGCGUUGGAUUAGCUAGUUGGUAGGGUAAAAGCCUACCAAGGCGACGAUCCAUAGCUGGUCUGAGAGGAUGAUCAGCCACACUGGGACUGAGACACGGCCCAGACUCCUACGGGAUGCAGCAGUGGGUAAUAUUGGACAAUGGGCGAAAGCCUGAUCCAGCAAUGCCGCGUGAGUGAUGAAGGCCUUAGGGUUGUAAAGCUCUUUUACCCGGGAUGAUAAUGACAGUACCGGGAGAAUAAGCUCCGGCUAACUCCGUG
RNAcentral lists this ribosomal RNA (433 nucleotides) under uncultured bacterium. RNAcentral describes it as "partial 16S ribosomal RNA". It matches the Rfam family "Bacterial small subunit ribosomal RNA", at positions 29 to 507 of the family's 1533-position model. The record is from RNAcentral.